RNAcentral lists this ribosomal RNA (404 nucleotides) under uncultured bacterium. Its description in RNAcentral is "bacterial SSU rRNA". It matches the Rfam family "Bacterial small subunit ribosomal RNA", at positions 355 to 776 of the family's 1533-position model. RNAcentral also lists the same sequence under 2 other names. The record is from RNAcentral.
UGGGGGAUAUUGCACAAUGGGGGAAACCCUGAUGCAGCGAUGCCGCGUGGAGGAAGAAGGUUUUCGGAUUGUAAACUCCUGUCUUUGGGGACGAUAAUGACGGUACCCAAGGAGGAAGCUCCGGCUAACUACGUGCCAGCAGCCGCGGUAAUACGUAGGGAGCAAGCGUUGUCCGGAAUUACUGGGUGUAAAGGGAGCGUAGGCGGGAUGGCAAGUCAGGUGUGAAAACUAUGGGCUCAACUCAUAGAUUGCACUUGAAACUGUUGUUCUUGAGUGAAGUAGAGGUAAGCGGAAUUCCUGGUGUAGCGGUGAAAUGCGUAGAUAUCAGGAGGAACACCGGUGGCGAAGGCGGCUUACUGGGCUUUUACUGACGCUGAGGCUCGAAAGCGUGGGGAGCAAACAGG